UACCGUGAUGAAACUGUGGAAUAGGAAGUGCCGUCAGAUGCGACAACUGACGAUGUGCAAUCCACUGCUGAGU
Molecule: small nucleolar RNA, 73 nt
Organism: Myripristis murdjan (pinecone soldierfish)
Lineage: Eukaryota; Metazoa; Chordata; Actinopteri; Holocentriformes; Holocentridae
Product: small nucleolar RNA SNORD49
Source: Ensembl